CUAACCCUAAACCCCUUGUUUAGAAAGAUCCAGGGUAUUAAUGCUUGUGACAGAGCAGCCGCCUGCCGUGUGGGUGCCUGCACUCGCUGCUGAGUGACAGGCAGGAGAUCGAGACGGAGGCUGAAGUUGAUACGCCCCCCGCAGGCGAACAGGAUUUAUUACACAUCAACACACGAGCAGCUCAAUUCACACUACCAGCAACGGUAGAGCACGGAGCUCAUACAACACAGUGUAAGGAUGUAUUUCCCUGACCUUGUAGCUCUUCAGCUUAGCAUGCAGCCCGAAAUCCACCUGUGUAGGGAGAGACUGGCUUUUCAUAACUCAGAGUGCAGCUGUGACCUCGGGCAGAUAAGCUGCUUUGAGCCUAUAUACAAACCAUAAUCAAACCAAUUGAAACUGGUUCAAAAACCAUUUACUUUUGUUAAGUGACAUGCUAUAACUUUAGGUAAGUGUCACAGAACGCAUAACAGCACAGUAUUGAACACGUAGGUGUUUUCUGAUAACCACGCAGCUUGUGCGGGGCAGUGUGCACACUGUUCCAGUUAAACUGCACAAGCUCUUACUGUUUCAUUAGCCUUUGUUCCUUUUCCAUUACAUUACUGUUACUUAUGCUUCCCAUUUAAAUGGUAAAUAAAUCAUUGACACUGUGGGUAAACAUGGUGUGAUUUUCCUGCGUUUAAAUGUAAGCUCUGAGUCAACACAGGGUUAAUGAAAUCUUAAUCAAGCUGUGCACAGCUGGUGCACAUCAGCAGUUUGCAAUCACCAGUCUUGUUGCUCGACCUUGUGAUGCGUGGGUAUAGAGCAAUUGUGAGAAUUGAGCAAAACUCGUAUUGUUCUUAAACGUAACUUCUUGUUGUCUGGGUUUCUGCUGACAUUGGUAAAGAAGAAACACAAAUGCAGCUUUGAAUGUGCUUUGCCUCGCACCACGCUAGGGACAUAAGACCAAAUUUGGUAUAGGAAAUUACAUCAGCUAGCUGUACAUCUGUGCUGUACGAAGUCAUUUCUUUGGUCAGGUCGGGUCAGCUCAAAAACUAACAUCUACACUGAUGGCGGCUCAGAACACCAUCAACUGAGACUUGUGUGUGAGAUCACUGAUGCAUCACCUUUGAUUUGCUUUGUUCCUGCUUGUAUUGUGAUUCCUGAAUAAGCUAUUUUUGAUUAACUUUACCUGAAGAUGAUGAGUUAUUUUGAAGAAAAAUCGAACCUCUUACAUACUGGCGAGACUAGCUACGAGACGUUGACCCCCGACCAGAAAACACCUUCGGGCAAGAAAAUCCUUUUCCUGAGGCCAGGUCGACUUGGCUGAUUCUGAAGGCGAUUCAGACAAGGGGACAGGGGGGAAUCAAGCUGGCAGCCAGGAACGUGCAGCUGAGCACGCAGAACUGUUCACUCUGAGACAACGGGACCACUGAAAACUGCUCUUCUGCUCAGGAACCAAUGCCUCAAAUGUGAUAAUAUUGUCACCUACUCUGGACAUUUUUUUGUAAACAGUGUGGAAUUUGAAUGAUCUACUGUAGCGCUGAAUGUGUCUAGAAUGAAAGAAAAUUAAUGGUAAUCUUAUUUGUAAUAAUGUAUUAACAUACAACCUAGGGGAUAUAAGUUUUGUAUUAAUAUAGUUUAAAAAAAAAAAAUAGAUUACUAAUGAACAGAAUUAAACCUCAUAUGUUUAAUUACUGUUUUUGUUGCACAAAGGAUAAAACACACAAUGUUUCUCGAUGAUCAGGAAAUAAUAAAAUAUAAAUAAUUGGA
Long non-coding RNA from Polyodon spathula (Mississippi paddlefish), 1749 nucleotides. RefSeq lists it as uncharacterized. The record is from RefSeq and is a predicted model, not a curated record. The transcript has 2 exons. Lineage: Eukaryota; Metazoa; Chordata; Actinopteri; Acipenseriformes; Polyodontidae.